RNAcentral lists this ribosomal RNA (389 nucleotides) under uncultured bacterium. RNAcentral describes it as "bacterial SSU rRNA". It matches the Rfam family "Bacterial small subunit ribosomal RNA", at positions 29 to 416 of the family's 1533-position model. The record is from RNAcentral.
AUUGAACGCUGGCGGAAUGCUUUACACAUGCAAGUCGAGCGGCAGCGCGGGGGCAACCCUGGCGGCGAGCGGCGAACGGGUGAGUAAUACAUCGGAACGUGUCCUUAAGUGGGGGAUAGCUCGGCGAAAGCCGGAUUAAUACCGCAUAAGCUCUGAGGAGGAAAGCGGGGGCUCCGUAAGGACCUCGCGCUGUUGGAGCGGCCGAUGUCGGAUUAGCUAGUUGGUGGGGUAAAGGCCCACCAAGGCGACGAUCCGUAGCUGGUCUGAGAGGAUGAUCAGCCACACUGGAACUGAGACACGGUCCAGACUCCUACGGGAGGCAGCAGUGGGGAAUUUUGGACAAUGGGGGCAAACCCUGAUCCAGCCAUUCCGCGUGAGUGAAGAAGGCC